GGGGCAGCAAACAUUCUCAACUGGAUUCCCUAAUCCAACAUGCACUAAUCCUCCUAAUACAUCAACACAAGCCCCUAGCUUAAGGGCGUUGAUUGGACAAGUGGGUUGAGUAGUAGGUGGAGGAUUAAGCCCCGGAACACCACCACCACCACCUCCUCCUCCUCCUCCUCCACCGCCUCCGCCACCGCCGCCGCCUCCGCCACCACCAGAUGGAGGGCUAGGCGUGUAUGGUGGGUAACCUGAAGAAGGCGGCGGUGUUAUUACAGGAGGAGGUGUUAUUAUUACAGGAGGGUUUACUACAGGAGGAGGAUUAAUGACUAUUGGUGGCAAAACCACUGGUGGGUUUUUUGUUGAAGGUGGUUUUGGGUGGCCGCCGUGGUGUGGUGGGUGCUUGGUGCUUGGUGGGUUAGGAUGAGGAACUUUUGGGUGG
RNAcentral lists this long non-coding RNA (430 nucleotides) under Jatropha curcas. Its description in RNAcentral is "long non-coding RNA (JCUR_LNC002862)". Lineage: Eukaryota; Viridiplantae; Streptophyta; Magnoliopsida; Malpighiales; Euphorbiaceae. The record is from RNAcentral.